Molecule: ribosomal RNA, 482 nt
Filed under: Scorpio fuscus
Lineage: Eukaryota; Metazoa; Arthropoda; Arachnida; Scorpiones; Scorpionidae
Description: partial 16S ribosomal RNA
Rfam family: Bacterial large subunit ribosomal RNA
Source: RNAcentral
GGUUUUUAGAGGUUAUUAAAAAUCAGACCUGCUCAGUGCAAGAGUAAACAGCCGCGGUAUUGUGACCGUGCUAAGGUAGCAUAAUCAUUAGUCUUUUAAUUUUAGACUGGUAUGAAUGGUUAGACUAAGUAUUUUUGUCUUGUAAUAAUAUUUCGAAUUUUAUGUUUUAGUAAAAAAGCUAAAAUUUCUUUUAGGGACGAGAAGACCCUGUCAAGCUUUACAAAUUAGGUCAUUAUUCUUAAAAUGAUUAAAAUUUGUUUUACUGGGGCAGUAGAUAAUAAAAUUUUAUUUAUAUAUUGUGAAGAUAGAUUUUGUUAAAUCAGGAAAUUCCUAAAUAAAAAUAAGUUACUGCAGGGAUAACAGCGUAAUUCUUUUUAAGAGUUCUUAUCAUCAUUAGAGUUUGCGACCUCGAUGUUGGAUUAAAAUUCCUAAUUCGCGCAAUAGUGAAAAAAGGAAGUCUGUUCGACUUUUAAAAUUUUCCA